This 289-nucleotide ribosomal RNA is filed under the name uncultured bacterium. RNAcentral's name for it is "partial 16S ribosomal RNA". The record is from RNAcentral.
CUACACGGGUAUCUAAUCCCUUUCGCUACCUACGCUUUCGUGCCUCAGCGUCAGAUUUUGUCCAGUAAGCUGCCUUCGCCUUAAGUGUUCCUCCUGAUAUCUGUGCAUUUCACCGCUCCACCAGGAAUUCCGCUUACCCCUCCAAAUCUCUAGAUAAACAGUUUCAGGCGCAGUUCCAAGGUUGAGCCUCGGGAUUUCACACCUGACAUAUCUAUCCGCCUACGCACGCUUUACGCCCAGUAAAUCCGAGUAACGCUUGCAGUCUCCGUAUUACCGCGGCGGCUGGCAC